AGAGUGGGGGUGAUUCUGAAACUUGAUUUUGAGAAGGCUUACAACAAAGUCAACUGGGAUUUUAUUCUUGAGUGUCAUAAGCUCCGAGGCUUUAACAAAAAAUGGUGCGGGUGGAUUAGAAGUAUCCUGCACAAUGGGACUGUGAGCAUUAAGUUGAAUAACCAAGUUGGCCCUUACUUUCAAAGUGCGAAAGGGGUCCGGCAAGGUGACCCCCAUUCCCCUUUCUUGUUCAAUUUAGCUGUGGACUGUUUGGCUAAAAUGAUUACAAAUGCCCAAAAAAGUGGCCUGAUAGUGGGGCUGGCCGCUGAUUUAAUUCCUAAUGGAGUAGCAGUUCUUCAGUAUGCGGACGACACCAUCAUAUGCCUGGAGUGA
This 372-nucleotide ribosomal RNA is filed under the name Triticum aestivum (bread wheat). RNAcentral describes it as "partial small subunit ribosomal RNA". The record is from RNAcentral. Lineage: Eukaryota; Viridiplantae; Streptophyta; Magnoliopsida; Poales; Poaceae.